RNAcentral lists this ribosomal RNA (313 nucleotides) under uncultured soil bacterium. RNAcentral describes it as "bacterial SSU rRNA". It matches the Rfam family "Bacterial small subunit ribosomal RNA", at positions 26 to 364 of the family's 1533-position model. The record is from RNAcentral.
AGAACGAACGCUGGCGGCAUGCCUAAUACAUGCAAGUCGAACGAACACUUCGGUGUUAGUGGCGCACGGGUGCGUAACGCGUGGGAAUCUGCCCUUGGGUUCGGAAUAACAGUUGGAAACGACUGCUAAUACCGGAUGAUGACGAAAGUCCAAAGAUUUAUCGCCCAGGGAUGAGCCCGCGUAGGAUUAGCUAGUUGGUGAGGUAAAGGCUCACCAAGGCGACGAUCCUUAGCUGGUCUGAGAGGAUGAUCAGCCACACUGGGGACUGAGACACGGCCCAGACCUCCGUACGGGAGGCAGCAGUAGGGAAUAG